GCGGCCGAGUUGGGUGGCGAUCGGCUCCUCUCGGCGAGGGCUUUCUUUUGGUAGCAGCGGCGACGCCUGUGGUGGCCGGAGACGGAAGAUCUGGUGGAGAGAGAAAAUGGUGGCAGCCGGCGUGUUUGGGCUUUUCCGGCCAGCUCCGGCGGAGGAUGGAUGAUCGGAGGAUGUAUCCCGACUCUCCUCAGCUCAAGCUUCGCGAUGGCACUGGUUUCGUGGCGAUCGGGCUUCGUUU
Molecule: long non-coding RNA, 238 nt
Filed under: Ricinus communis (castor bean)
Lineage: Eukaryota; Viridiplantae; Streptophyta; Magnoliopsida; Malpighiales; Euphorbiaceae
Description: long non-coding RNA (RCOM_LNC000714)
Source: RNAcentral